Molecule: regulatory RNA element, 46 nt
Organism: Gorilla gorilla gorilla (western lowland gorilla)
Lineage: Eukaryota; Metazoa; Chordata; Mammalia; Primates; Hominidae
Rfam family: Histone 3' UTR stem-loop
About the family: The mRNAs of metazoan histone genes lack a poly-A tail. 3' end processing occurs at a site between a highly conserved stem-loop (modelled by this family) and a purine rich region around 20 nts downstream (the histone downstream element, or HDE). The stem-loop is bound by a 31 kDa stem-loop binding protein (SLBP - also termed the histone hairpin binding protein, or HBP).
Source: Rfam
CCAAAGGCUCUUUUCAGAGCCAACCACUUUGUCCAUGAAAAAGGCU